GAUGAACGCUGGCGGCGUGCCUAAUACAUGCAAGUCGAGCGAACGGACGAGAAGCUUGCUUUUCUGAUGUUAGCGGCGGACGGGUGAGUAACACGUGGAUAACCUACCUAUAAGACUGGGAUAACUUCGGGAAACCGGAGCUAAUACCGGAUAAUAUUUUGAACCGCAUGGUUCAAAAGUGAAAGACAGUCUUGCUGUCACUUAUAGAUGGAUCCGCGCUGCAUUAGCUAGUUGGUAAGGUAACGGCUUACCAAGGCAACGAUGCAUAGCCGACCUGAGAGGGUGAUCAGCCACACUGGAACUGAGACACGGUCCAGACUCCUACGGGAGGCAGCAGUAGGGAAUCUUCCGCAAUGGGCGAAAGCCUGGCGGAGCAACGCCGCGUGAGUGAUGAAGGUCUUCGGAUCGUAAAACUCUGUUAUUAGGGAAGAACAUAUGUGUAAGUAACUGUGCACAUCUUGACGGUACCUAAUCAGAAAGCCACGGCUAACUACGUG
RNAcentral lists this ribosomal RNA (497 nucleotides) under uncultured bacterium. RNAcentral describes it as "partial 16S ribosomal RNA". It matches the Rfam family "Bacterial small subunit ribosomal RNA", at positions 28 to 507 of the family's 1533-position model. The record is from RNAcentral.